This 165-nucleotide RNase MRP RNA is filed under the name Nematocida displodere. Its description in RNAcentral is "RNase MRP". It matches the Rfam family "RNase MRP". Rfam says of the family: RNase MRP is an enzymatically active ribonucleoprotein with two distinct roles in eukaryotes. The record is from Rfam by way of RNAcentral. Lineage: Eukaryota; Fungi; Microsporidia.
AAUGGCUCUGGAGGGCAGCUCCGGAGAUACCUCUGAGGAAAGUCCUCGGGCACGUGGUAGGAAUACAAACGUAAAGGUAGGCAUCUAUGCCAUUUCGCCAUUUAGAUAGUAAUGCUGCCAGAGUAUCGAUCUACUCUAACAGAAUGAGGCUUACUCCAGAGCUCU